This is a long non-coding RNA of Helianthus annuus (common sunflower), 467 nucleotides long. RefSeq lists it as uncharacterized. The record is from RefSeq and is a predicted model, not a curated record. The transcript has 2 exons. Lineage: Eukaryota; Viridiplantae; Streptophyta; Magnoliopsida; Asterales; Asteraceae.
GAUGUUAACGAGCUCUUGAGAUCGUAUCAAUCUGAACCCGAAUGUUCUCCAUCCAAAGAUUAUAUUUGGGGGAAUGAUCUCCAUCCGAAUGUUGAACUCAUAUCAACUACAAAGGAUGGUGAUGGAUACAAGGGAAACAAGAUCCAAUUCUCGGGACCGUUGGUUUUGUCAAACGCGGAUCAGAUGCUUAAGGAUCAUGACAAUGUUUAUGUUACAGCACAACACAACUAACACGUGUUAUAGUUUGAGCUUCAGGACAUGCAUGUGUUACAUGUGACGUGAAACCCAUGUACAACGUAACACGUGUUAGUGCUAUGUAUUUUUGUUUACUAGUAAUAUGCAAUGUGAGACUCUUGUUGUUUUCUCUAGUACACGAUGUUAAAACGGUCUAGACUUAACACAUUUUCUGUUGGAGGCGCCCGUAUUUGUACCUCUACUGUUACAGUUACUAUUGAAGUUUAUGCAUC